Molecule: non-coding RNA, 814 nt
Organism: Cinara cedri
Lineage: Eukaryota; Metazoa; Arthropoda; Insecta; Hemiptera; Aphididae
Source: the annotation of a GenBank genome assembly
UUAUUUAAAUCGAUCAAAUAGGUCAUAUUAUACAUAUUAUGUCAUUUAGGCAUUACAAUCAAUUCAAAAAUUUAUUUAAAGAUUUGUAUGUCUUCAAUGUUGAAACUGAUGUUAAUACAAUAUUAAAGUUAUUGUUAGUAUAAGAAUUUACGUUGUACAAUUACUAUUGUAUUGAAUUUACUUCUAUACCUAAACAUUUAGGUAGGAUAUCAACUGCCGUUGGUUUACAAACUAAAUGGUAAUUACCCAUUUUAAUGAAAACUUAUAAGUUUAUUUAAACUUAAAUUUUACAAACAAAUAUUUUUUCUUAUAUCUAAGUAUACUUUGUAUGUAAUUUUAUUUUCUGCCGUUUCUAUAUAUUAUGCAUACAUAUGUGUCGUCAAUGUAACACAAAAACCGGUAGAAAUGUAAUAAUUUUAAAACAAAAAUGUAACACUACAAUAGAGUAGGUUGACUGGACAUUAACGAGUUAAAAAGAUAAAAGAGCUAAUUUUGCUGAUGGGUAUCCCACUGCUGUAGGUGCUAAAUUGGCAAAUUGGCAAGGUGUGAUGCGCCUAUUACAUUUUAAAAUUAUACAAUGAUUUAAUUUAUAUCUUUUAUAAACGAUAAGUUAUUGCUUAUGAAAAACGAUUCUGAACGUAGUCAAAGUUCGGUUAUCCAUGUUUUGAAAUACCGUAAUUUUAACGAUUAUGAUAAAAUGUUUAUCUUAAAACACUUAAAACGAUUAGUUUUUUUAUAUUUUUUUGUGACCACUAAGUCAUAUAUGUGCUAUAAUAUUAUUAUAUUCUAAAAAUGUCAGAUCUUUCAGGUUUCU